GUGUGCACACAUACACAAGACAGAAAAGAUUAGCCUGGUGCCUGCGAAAGGACAACACAGAAAUUCACAAAUUGUUCCAUAUUUUA
This 86-nucleotide small nuclear RNA is filed under the name Otolemur garnettii (small-eared galago). Lineage: Eukaryota; Metazoa; Chordata; Mammalia; Primates; Galagidae. The record is from RNAcentral.